This 680-nucleotide ribosomal RNA is filed under the name Shigella flexneri. RNAcentral describes it as "bacterial SSU rRNA". It matches the Rfam family "Bacterial small subunit ribosomal RNA", at positions 103 to 779 of the family's 1533-position model. Lineage: Bacteria; Pseudomonadati; Pseudomonadota; Gammaproteobacteria; Enterobacterales; Enterobacteriaceae. The record is from RNAcentral.
CGGGUGAGUAAUGUCUGGGAAACUGCCUGAUGGAGGGGGAUAACUACUGGAAACGGUAGCUAAUACCGCAUAACGUCGCAAGACCAAAGAGGGGGACCUUCGGGCCUCUUGCCAUCGGAUGUGCCCAGAUGGGAUUAGCUUGUUGGUGGGGUAACGGCUCACCAAGGCGACGAUCCCUAGCUGGUCUGAGAGGAUGACCAGCCACACUGGAACUGAGACACGGUCCAGACUCCUACGGGAGGCAGCAGUGGGGAAUAUUGCACAAUGGGCGCAAGCCUGAUGCAGCCAUGCCGCGUGUAUGAAGAAGGCCUUCGGGUUGUAAAGUACUUUCAGCGGGGAGGAAGGGAGUAAAGUUAAUACCUUUGCUCAUUGACGUUACCCGCAGAAGAAGCACCGGCUAACUCCGUGCCAGCAGCCGCGGUAAUACGGAGGGUGCAAGCGUUAAUCGGAAUUACUGGGCGUAAAGCGCACGCAGGCGGUUUGUUAAGUCAGAUGUGAAAUCCCCGGGCUCAACCUGGGAACUGCAUCUGAUACUGGCAAGCUUGAGUCUCGUAGAGGGGGGUAGAAUUCCAGGUGUAGCGGUGAAAUGCGUAGAGAUCUGGAGGAAUACCGGUGGCGAAGGCGGCCCCCUGGACGAAGACUGACGCUCAGGUGCGAAAGCGUGGGGAGCAAACAGGAUU